This is a long non-coding RNA of Mercenaria mercenaria, 977 nucleotides long. RefSeq lists it as uncharacterized. The transcript has 2 exons. NCBI's taxonomy places the organism in Eukaryota, Metazoa, Mollusca, Bivalvia, Venerida, Veneridae. The record is from RefSeq and is a predicted model, not a curated record.
CGAAGGUUGUAUGACACGCGCCGAGAGCGUGCGUAAAGUACAAUGAAGUUGUGAUAUUUACAUCCAUUUUUGGAGAAUUAUUAAAUUAACAAACAUGCGUUUAUUAACUUACUUUUUUUUCGUAUUUUAUGAAACAUGUUUUGUUGUGCUAUUUGUAUCCAUUUGUAUAUUAUGCGAUGUACGAAUAGUUCUAUGAUGUUCAGCUAACUGAAUCAAAGGAAUUUCAUCGUCGGAAUCAUCAUCCGACGGAACUGAUAUGUCAAAAUCAGAAUGAUAAAUGAUUAUUAUCUUUAUUUUAAAUUAGAUCACUGGCAGACAACAUUAUUGUACUCUUUUGAAAAGACAAAUACAGUAUGAAAGAAACACUGAGGAGUUCGUCAUUUUUAUUUCCUCUUCAUGACCGCAUAAUGGGGAUAAUAAGCCAGCUACUCGCUAGGUAAGGUGUAAACAAUGCUGACCCGGAUUCUUAUUAUCUCACUAAUGGAUUCUGAGAAGAAAUCAAAUGUUUUGGAUGGAAAGUUAUACAAUUACAUAGAGAAUUAAUAAAAAGAGGGGCAUCAAUCAAAGGCAGAAAGGAAGAUUUGUUAACAAGACUUGAAGCAUAUGACAGAAAUCAAGACUUCAGGGGUGAACCUAUUCUCCUACCAGAACCUCUGGAUUCAGACUGGCCCACUGAAGGGUUUCAUCAGCUGCAAGCAAACCAUAGGAUCCACUUCCCUAAAUUGGGAAGCAAUAUGAAAAUCCAGCAAUUAAGAAAUUUGAAAAGCAAACGAGAUAUAGUGUCAACAACUGCGGUUUAUUCAUAUGUAGAGAAAGUCCAUAUCUGGCUGCAACACCCGACGGAGUCAUUAGACUGAUUGAUUCUAUUGUGCAUAUUGUAAAAAAAAGUUCUAUUAAUUCACAUUAUAUAAAAAAUUAGAGGUAUGUAUGCAACGAGAUACUGUAAAAGUUACUGAAACAAAAUUAUGUUCUAUUCU